Venturia canescens is the source of this 1065-nucleotide RNA transcript. It is a transcript of the gene named lys-63-specific deubiquitinase BRCC36-like, with no coding region annotated. The record is from RefSeq and is a predicted model, not a curated record. Lineage: Eukaryota; Metazoa; Arthropoda; Insecta; Hymenoptera; Ichneumonidae. The transcript has 7 exons.
UGAUAAGUGCAUGAGUAUAUGGAUCUAUGAAUGUAGUUUGCUUCUGCACCGUCGCCACCACCAGUGUUUUUGUUUGCUUGCUCCGUUGCUCCGCAUACUUUUGGCUUUUAGGCGCUUUCCCGAUAGUCCGGUAUUGUCAUUAUAAAAGCAUGGAAUCUCCGCUAGAAAAGGUUGAACUUGAAGCCGACGUUUAUAUGGCAUGCUUGCAACAUGCCUUUACCACUGAAAAUUUCGAAGUUAUGGGUCUUCUCAUAGGAAAUUUGGAACAUGGCACGGCCAACAUAUCAGCAUUGAUAAAUCUACGAAGACUAGAUAAAAAAAAGGACCGUGUUGAAAUUUCACCUGAACAACUAUUGAAAGCCGCUACUGAAGCAGAACGUUUGACCGCAGAGCUGCAGCGUCCAAUGAGAGUUUUGGGCUGGUAUCAUUCACAUCCGCAUAUUACUGUCGUUCCUUCUCACGUUGAUGUGUGUACUCAGGCAAGUUAUCAGAUGAUGGAACGAGGCUUUGUUGGACUUAUAUUUUCGGUUUUCAAUGAAGCUAAAGAUACAAAGGAACAAGAAGUCCAAUUGAUUUGUUUCCAAUCAAAAGGAAGAGAGGAUUUCGUUGAAAUACCCUUAGAAAUAAUUGGGACGACGGAAAUAUCUGACAGAUGUUUGAGGACAAUGACUGAUGUUCCAAGGAUUCUUGUUCAGGAAGAAGAGGAUACCGCCGAAUCUUGUAAAGGACAUCCGGAUAUUCUUGCUUCCAUUCACAAUGAUGCUGGUUUUUGGUGGACACAUUGAUGGUGGAAUACAAGAAUCAGUUUCUUCGUUUCGCAAAUACCCUUCUUUACACUGACAGCCAUUACCAGAGCACGUCUGCGUAUUAUUACAUUCGUGAGAACUCGUGCUUUGAUACAUAUAACGGAUACGAUCACGAAACCUCUUAUACAGGCACUAGAGACAAGAAUUGAGAUGAACAAGAUUCGGGCGGGUCUUCUUCGCAAUCGCCUUGAAGAAAUGCGUCAAAUCUAUAGCGAACAGUGUUUGUAAUUCAAAUAAAGAAGAGACAUCGGAAAUUCAA